RNAcentral lists this ribosomal RNA (472 nucleotides) under uncultured bacterium. Its description in RNAcentral is "SSU rRNA". It matches the Rfam family "Bacterial small subunit ribosomal RNA", at positions 26 to 521 of the family's 1533-position model. The record is from RNAcentral.
AGAUUGAACGCUGGCGGCAUGCCUUACACAUGCAAGUCGAACGGCAGCACGGGAGCAAUCCUGGUGGCGAGUGGCGAACGGGUGAGUAAUACAUCGGAACGUGCCCAAUAGUGGGGGAUAACCCGGCGAAAGCCGGACUAAUACCGCAUACGACCUACGGGUGAAAGCAGGGGAUCGCAAGACCUUGCGCUAUCGGAGCGGCCGAUGUCAGAUUAGCUUGUUGGCGGGUAAAAGCCCACCAAGGCGACGAUCUGUAGCUGGUCUGAGAGGACGACCAGCCACACUGGGACUGAGACACGGCCCAGACUCCUACGGGAGGCAGCAGUGGGGAAUUUCCGCAAUGGACGCAAGUCUGACGGAGCAACGCCGCGUGCAGGAUGACGGCCUUCGGGUUGUAAACUGCUUUCUGUGAGACGAGAACGGACGGUAUCACAGGAAUCAGCCCGGCUAACUACGUGCCAGCAGCCGCGGU